UCAAUUCUCAAAUCUACAUUCUGACAGCAAAUUUCUUAGGGCAAAAUGUGGGUUUUGCUAUGCUACCAAGCAAAGUUUUCAACUGAUGCCAAAUAGUUGGAAGCCAAUGAGUUAUUUGCACCAACCAUAGAAGCUCCAUUUUUCUCUUUAGCAGAAACUUUCCACAUCAUAGCUCAUAGCAUCAUAAACAGAUGAUUUUUUAAAAACCCAAUAAAAUAAAAGGGGUGUUCUGGAAAGUUGGCAGAAAAUUAAAAGGAAAAUUGUGAAUCAUAAAGGCUAAUUAGCCUAUUAGUUCUCAUACAACAACUGGGAUGAGGAAAAUUUUAAUGCAGACAAAUGCUGUACUGUAUGCAUAUUUUACAUUUAUAUAUUCAUGCAAGAGGAUAUUCAUAUAGUAGUAAGUAAUGGCAGAUCUAUAUAGAGAACACUGGUAAGAAGGAAAGCAAAAUAUAAUUUUAGAAUUAAUUCUCCAUAGUUGCCAUUGCCUAUUUUAUCUGUCAUACAGGAUGUCCAUAAGAUGAUAAUCAUAAAUAAUACUACCAUUUAGCAAAUCUGUGCAUUGACAAAAUUUCCUUCUAGAAUUACAAAAGGAACAUUUGAAUUGGAUGCUUGGAUUGGCAUGUAUUCUAAACUGCUUCUACAUCCUAGGUUCUGGGGAAGAACUUUAUGGAUAUGAAGGCUCAUGUCUGUUAAAGAAGUGACAGCUGUGAUUUCACAUAAUUGUGCAUGUAACAGCAACAUCUGCCUAUUCUAGGUUCUUGGGAAGGACUCAAUAUGAGGAUAAAAAUGUGAAAUCCAUCUAAACAUUGGGCUGACUAUGCAAUGAAUCAUUAAACCUUUAUGCUGCCCAAUUCUUAACAACUUGGACAACUCCUAACAAUCAAAUAAAGAAAUUACAAUAAAAUAAAUAAAAAUUAAGAGAUAGCAAAUGUGAUAAAGUUUAAAGCUUUCUCUCUUUCUGACUUCAUGGAUUUUCUAAACAACAGCUACCAGAUGUCGGAAGCAGCCUUGGAGUCACCUUCCAAAGGGAAGGGAUUGCUACAGAGGAGAUGUGCUUCCAAGGUCUCGAUAAAUGACAUUGUUUAAUUAAAGGAAACCAUAAUGCACCAACCCUGAAAAAUAGAAUUGGCUGGACAGAUGUUAUUGGACGCAGGUGGUCUUUCAAGUAAGCAUUCUAUGCUAUGUGUUAUGACAUCAGCUGAAUUUUUCAGAAUACUAUUAAAUCAGAAUGCUAAUGUUAGAAUUAUCUGAUGUUUAUAGUAAAGCAUUAUAUGUAUUAUUCAUUUAUCUGCAUGUAUUCUGUUCAGUUCUGCAUUUCAUUUUCAAGUAUCUAGAACCUACUGAGUCUCUUGAUCUGUUCAUUUAUGAAAUUACUUUGCCACUCUAAAUAUGGAAAAGAGUGGCCACAUUUUCAAAUGUACAAUACAUUAUUUCUAAACCAUACAGCUUGGACAAGACAUAGUAUAGUAGUUAAGAUAAAUGCAAGCAUGUUGUACACAGGUAGUCCUGACUUCCAAUAGUUUGUUUGACAGCAGUUCAGAAUCAUAAUUGCCUUGGAGAGGGUGGCCUAUACAGUGCUUCUGGCCGUUGCAAAACUUUGCUCACAUAGAUAUAGAUAAAAGGAAGCUGAAAUCCAAACAGAGGGUAGUCAGUGCAGUAAAGUAAGGAGCACAAAUGUGCCUCAGGUGUGUUGGCAGGCUUGGAAGGCCUUAGGUGGGCCACAUCCAAGAGACUACUUCUCUUCAUUUGGGGACAGCUUGCAUGUUGACAGCAAGCAUUUUCAGCUAAUGAGUGGAACCUUCCAGAGUAUGCCCUGUCUGCAACUCCAUCAACUUAACGAACUGCAUAAUUCCUUAAUGACUACAAUUGGGAAUGCUGAGAUUGUGGUUGUUAAGCAAAGAAAUCACAUGGGUAGUCACAUGAUAUCUCACUUAAUGAUUGCUUAACUCAAUGACAAAAUUCCAGUCCCAAUUGUGGUGACAAAUUGAGGAGUACCUGUAUGCAAGCACUUGAAAGAAAGAAAUAUAAGGUUUGAAAAAUACAGUAUAAAAUACACAUUAAAGCUAGCCAAUUAUAGUUUGGAAGAAGAUUUAGAUUUAGUUUUUCAAAUGGAAAUUUUCAAAAAUUUUGUGGAGUAUACCACUUUGUUUUCGAUGAGUUGAUUCAUCAUAUGCUUCUUUUCCUGGGACAAUUAAGCCAAGUCAACCCAUGUAAUUUAGUUCAAUUCUUGCAGUGAGGUAUAAGUAGGCUGCCAGUGACUGUCCAAAAACUACAAUUGAUUCAAAUACAUGAAGUGACUGUAAAAUUAAAGGGAAUACUGCCUCAUAAUUUAGGGAAAUACAAUGUCUAUUUUUUAAUCUCCAAAAUUAUUUUAUGUGUCAACUUGAAUUUAUCCAACUGCAAGCAGCCAAGAAGUAGAACAUUCAAAAGAUAACUUUUUCUCAUAUGUGCUUCCGAUAUGGAAGCUUUGCUCUGAAUGUUUCUACCUUUUUUGAAUUAAUUUAGGUAAAAAACAAGAAAUAAAGAGAUAUUACAAUUAGGGCACAUAACUUUAGAAAAGCCUUCUAUAAAUCAGAAAGCAAAUGAUAUGUUUUUUUCUUAUUUGUGCAAAAAUGUUGAUGCUUAAAAAGUUACUGGUUUAUUAAAUUUUAGUGUCAUUAAAUGCCUUAUAAGGUUAACUACUUUAAACAUCAUUUAUAUUAACACAUAUAAUAAACUAACUGAAACACUGUAUUUAUGAAAUUUGUGAAAUGUCUGCAAUGAAUUUUUAAAAAUAUUACUUUUGUUACAAUUUCAAGCAGAAGCUUUCCAUUUUGGAAGACAUAGGAAAAUUUUGCAAGACAUAGUCCUCAGCCUACUCUCAAAGGAAUUAUUGGUCUCUUCUUGUCCAACAAAUAAAGCCAGUGAGUGAUAACACAAAAACAAUUUUAUUGCUUAAUUCCAUAAAAGUUUUAAAAAGAACCAAACAACUCCAUUUAUUGGAAGCUACUGUUAUUGAAAUAUUUUUUAGAAUUGCUAUUAAUUAAAUCUUCAAUUAAAUUUAAAAUAUUGCCUUUUAUACAUAAUUUAUUAAAAAGAAU
Molecule: non-coding RNA, 3080 nt
Organism: Notechis scutatus (mainland tiger snake)
Lineage: Eukaryota; Metazoa; Chordata; Lepidosauria; Squamata; Elapidae
Source: RefSeq, a predicted model, not a curated record